This 762-nucleotide ribosomal RNA is filed under the name Triticum aestivum (bread wheat). RNAcentral describes it as "partial small subunit ribosomal RNA". Lineage: Eukaryota; Viridiplantae; Streptophyta; Magnoliopsida; Poales; Poaceae. The record is from RNAcentral.
AUGGAGGCCGCGCACUCAGCGGCGAUAGAGCCAAAUGCUGACUUCACCUCCUAUGAGACCUGUGUUGCCGGACACUUGGAUUCGUCCCCGGCCACGGGCUCUGAACCGCCUGCGUCCGUGCCUAUCGAAUCUGAUUGGGCACCGAUCAUGGAGUUUUCCUCUGCGGAUAUCUUUCAGCACUCGCCCCUGGGCGACGUGCUAAAUUCAUUAAGGUCUCUCUCCUUGUCAGGAGACCCUUGGCCGAACUAUGUCCGGCUUGAUUGGGAAGCGGACGACGAAGAAAUUUGUUCCCCACCCACCACCCACUUAAUAGCCAUUGUCGACGACUUAACCGACAUGCUCGAUUUUGGCUCCGAAGACAUCGACGGUAUGGACGACGAUGUAGGAGACGAACAGGAACCACCGCCCACAGGGCGCUGGACUGCCACCUCAUCAUAUGAUAUAUACAUGGUGGACACCCCCAAAGAAGGCGAUGGCGAUAAGGCAAUGGAGGAUAAUCCCUCCGAGAAGCAAUCCAAGCACCGGCGUCAGCGGCGGCGCUCUAAGUCCCGUCAUAGCAAAAGCAGAGAUACCGGCACAAGAGAUAAUAACACUGCAGAUAAUGCCGAAGACGAAGACAAUCCCCUCCAGCCAGGCUUCGAGCAGGAGGAUGGGCAAGCUAGCCCUAAGGAACAGGCAGCAGACGAAGAAUCAGAGGAUGAUAAUUACAUGCCUCUCUCCAAAGACGAGGUGAGCUUCGGCGACGAAGAAUUUAUCGUGCCU